This 1142-nucleotide long non-coding RNA is filed under the name Oreochromis niloticus (Nile tilapia). RNAcentral's name for it is "lncRNA (ENSONIG00000035599.1)". Lineage: Eukaryota; Metazoa; Chordata; Actinopteri; Cichliformes; Cichlidae. The record is from RNAcentral.
ACACGACAGCAGCUGAAGAGGAUCUCUGUGAGUGACAAAGGAAGAAGAACAUAGAGGAAGAGGGGAAAAGCAGGGCAGCGGUGAGUAGAGUAGAUAAGGAUAAAUGACUAAAGGAGAAACAUCUGAAUAAUUUCACAUUAUUCCUUUAACUUUAGUUAGUUUUGAAGAGCAGCCCAGCGUGUCCAGCUCAGGUCACUGUGACAAGUCCAGUGUGAUUCUUUGGCUGUAUCCCAAUUCAGGGUCUGCAGCCUUAAAGGCCGCAUUUCAAGGCCGAUUACGUCACAGCGACGCAACGAAGGCUGUCCCAAUUCAAAGGCUGCUCAAAAUGUGGCCCUCAAAUGCGUCCUUCAUUUCCCUGAAUUUUAAGGCUGUGGCGGUGUAGACUUCGUGGCCCAACAUAUCCCACAAUUCAUAGCGCGGCAGUCGGUGUGGAUAAUGGACUACUUGGACAAUCACUUCCACGUUCUAUGUAGUCCUGCCCCAGUGCUUCCGGUAUGGUUAAACCAUGGCAACGUUCUACACUCGCUGCCUACAAGAGCUCCCAAAAUUGAACAUCACUGAUGUUCAUCGGAUUUGCAGAGUGACGACAACCCCAGCCAGCAAAUUAGAUAAAGGAUUUAAGUUAUACGCUGCAUCAUAUAUACACAACUACGUAGAUUAAGCUUCUGGAUUCAUCGCCGGUGGUACUGACACAUAGCCAGUGCUCCUGUGUGGCAGGUGCUGUUAUGUGCAAUCACACAGUGGCACUGCUCUUCCAAACAGCACACUACUCACAACUCAGAGUGCCGGUUGUCCCCCUGUGCAUAGCUGCACCGAAUCUGAACAGCAAUGGCACAAGCCACGGACAGUGGUAAUUUAAAUAAGGUUAAAGUUUUUGAAUUAGACCAUGUUUACAUAUGAACAGCAACACCAUCCAUAGUAAAUGUGUCUUCUGUUAGGGUGUGAAGCCAGGACCCAUCAACUCCAUGAUCUUCACUAAGCCGGUACCAAAUAGGAUGGCCCAGACUGGAGUACGGUAAUUAGAUUUGUAAAAUUUGGUUUCCUGUGUUACAAAUGCAUAUUGCUAUUUGUUCAUACAUACAUGUGUCAGAAUAGGUAUUAAUUUACAUACAACAUUACACUUUCUGAAGACGGCUAACUCA